GAACUUUUAACUCUUUGCUGAAUACACAUAAUUUUUGUUGAAAAGAUAUUGCCACAGCAGUUUGUGUGCUAUGAGGAAUUUUAGUUUAAGCACUGAUUUUAGCAUAUCAUGUGACUUUAUAAAGAACAUGCAAUUUGUUAAGCAUAAAUAUCUUUGCCCCUGAAUAUGGACAAUUAAAUCGUGGUGCCUUCACUAUCCCUUUUCACUCGAUUGUUUAGGGAUUGUGUCAUAGAAAAAACAGGUUCUCUUUUAAAUGUGUCAUUUUUAUCCAUGGUAAUGAGUUUUCCAUCAUGCCCCUUUUGAAAUCAUUUUCUUCUUAAGAAUUAUAGCUAAAAUUUUCAUGCAUUUCUUAAUAAAUUCUUGGGCAUGAACUCCCAUUUUGGUUUUGUAUUUUUGGAUGCUUUGGCACUGUCCUUCGGUUCUUAAAAUUUGGAAUUUCCUGACUUCCUACAUUCUGAAUUCCUUUUUUUUUUGUAUGACUCAUUGACUCUUCCUUAAUAAGCACUAUUUUCCUUUAGCUUCCACAUUUGGUGGUGAUGAUUGUUGAUUGUAGAUGGUGAUCCUUAGGUUUGGUUAAUGGUGAUGGUUGGGGAAUGGGGAGCACUUGUCUGCAGAGCUUUUACCGAACCAGAAAUCAAUCUCAGAAUGGUGAAGUUUGAGCAGAAGCUUCUGAGACUGUGAAGGGUAUUUUCCAGAGUCACUUUGUCAGGAACCUAACAAAUCGAUGAUUGAAGAGAUGACUAAGAAACUGUCUAGAACAGUCAAUGUAGAGACCUGGAAAUCCACAUUUGGUGAUAAAUUUCUUGCAUUAAAAUAGGCAAAUUUUCUGUCAUUUUUGAGUCCAUGCUACUCAUAAACAUUAGCACUAAUAACACAUCUACUUCAAAAGUAUUUUGAUUCUCAUCUCAGAUAAUUCACAUAUACUUGUUCGUUCAUUAUUUGUCAAUAUGUAUUGCAAGGCACCACAUACACAAACAAGGUCCUAGGCAUUGAUGUGGAUCUCAUCUAUCACCCAAAGGAAAAAGGGAAAGUAAUCUGUAUUUGUGCAUUACUAAAAUCCAGGGAUAGACUUCAGCAAUGUGCACACAAUGUCAAAUAUUUUUAUGAUGUUUGAUAGGUUGAAAUUCUGUUUAUAUUUUUUAUGAGAAUUAAGUAUGGGUAGACAUACAAUGCACCUAUUUCUUAGCUCUACUUAUUAUACUCUUAGACUCCUACAACACUAAGUAUAAAUAUUCUGAUAACUUUAAAAAUUGUGGAAAAUGUGUAUUAUUAAAAAACUAGGCUGGCGCCGUGGCUCGUGGCUCACUUGGCUAAUCCUCCGCCUGAGGCACCGGCACCCCAGGUUCUAGUCGCAGUCAUUGUGCAUUGUGCCGGAUUCUGUCCCGGUUGCUCCUCUUCCAGGCCAGCUCUCUGCUGUG
This 1418-nucleotide long non-coding RNA is filed under the name Oryctolagus cuniculus (rabbit). RNAcentral describes it as "lncRNA (ENSOCUG00000031078.1)". The record is from RNAcentral. Lineage: Eukaryota; Metazoa; Chordata; Mammalia; Lagomorpha; Leporidae.